Long non-coding RNA from Schistocerca piceifrons (Central American locust), 406 nucleotides. RefSeq lists it as uncharacterized. The record is from RefSeq and is a predicted model, not a curated record. The transcript has 3 exons. Lineage: Eukaryota; Metazoa; Arthropoda; Insecta; Orthoptera; Acrididae.
ACUGACGUUUACCUGCGGAAGCGAAUGUGUGUGGGUUAUGUUUUGUUUAUUAUAAAAUUCUGUUUGUUGUAUUUGGCACUACGCGUCGUUUUAUCCGAAUGUCUGUCUUUUGUGUAAUAACCCACACAUUAUAAAAUACAUCCCCGUAUUUCACGGCGCGUGCAACAUUUCGAUUUAACGAAUUCGAAAAGUAAAACAAACGAGUUUCGAAAUAAACUUAACUAUUUCCGAGCUGCACUGUGAAAUUAGAAGCUUCAAGCUGCAAUGGUGUCAGAGCACUCCUUGACUGCCGGUCCAUUGUCGUCGCCCUGCUGUCACCGCGAACGCUGCUAAGGACAGGCGAUGGAGCUGCAGCGACGCCGCUGUUAGACGGCCGCAGCCCGGGGCUCGAGCGCCCGCCGCCGCC